This 460-nucleotide ribosomal RNA is filed under the name uncultured bacterium. RNAcentral describes it as "partial 16S ribosomal RNA". It matches the Rfam family "Bacterial small subunit ribosomal RNA", at positions 338 to 795 of the family's 1533-position model. The record is from RNAcentral.
CCUACGGGUGGCAGCAGUGAGGAAUAUUGGUCAAUGGACGCAAGUCUGAACCAGCCAUGCCGCGUGCAGGAAGACGGCUCUAUGAGUUGUAAACUGCUUUUGUACGAGGGUAAACGCAGAUACGCGUAUCUGUCUGAAAGUAUCGUACGAAUAAGGAUCGGCUAACUCCGUGCCAGCAGCCGCGGUAAUACGGAGGAUUCAAGCGUUAUCCGGAUUUAUUGGGUUUAAAGGGUGCGUAGGCGGUCGGAUAAGUAAGAGGUGAAAUCCCGAGGCUCAACUUCGGAAUUGCGUUUGAUACUGUCAGGCUAGAGAGUAGUAGCGGUAGGCGGAAUGUAUGGUGUAGCGGUGAAAUGCUUAGAGAUCAUACAGAACACCGAUUGCGAAGGCAGCUUACCAAGCUACUUCUGACGUUGAGGCACGAAAGCGUGGGGAGCAAACAGGAUUAGAUACCCCAAUAGUC